This 256-nucleotide ribosomal RNA is filed under the name uncultured bacterium. RNAcentral's name for it is "partial 16S ribosomal RNA". It matches the Rfam family "Bacterial small subunit ribosomal RNA", at positions 524 to 776 of the family's 1533-position model. The record is from RNAcentral.
UACGUAGGGGGCAAGCGUUGUCCGGAUUUAUUGGGCGUAAAGAGCUCGUAGGUGGUUCGGUAAGUCGGAUGUGAAAUCUCCAGGCUCAACCUGGAGGGGUCAUUCGAUACUGCCGUGACUAGAGGUCGGUAGGGGAGUGUGGAAUUCCUGGUGGAGCGGUGAAAUGCGCAGAUAUCAGGAGGAACACCCGGUAGCGAAGGCGGCACUCUGGGCCGAUACUGGACACUGAGGAGCGAAAGCGUGGGGAGCGAACAGG